ACUUUACCAUGCGGGCAACCGUGAUAAGGAAACCCCGAGUGCCAGCACAGGCUGGCUGUCCGCCAGUUUAAACAACUGGCGAAGAAAGGGCCGGGCAAGACCGGUGCCAGCCGCCGCGGUAAUACCGGCGGCUCGAGUGGUGGCCGCUAUUACUGGGCUUAAAGGGUCCGUAGCUUGAUAAUAGGGUCCCUUGAGAAAUCCGCCGGCUUAACUGGCGGGCGUUCAGGGGAAACUUGUUUUCCAGGGACCGGGAGAGGUGAGGGGUACUGCCGGGGUAGGAGUGAAAUCCUGUAAUCCCGGUGGGACCACCUAUGGCGAAGGCAUCUCACCAGAACGGGUCCGACAGUGAGGGACGAAAGCUGGGGGAGCAAACCGG
Molecule: ribosomal RNA, 376 nt
Filed under: uncultured archaeon
Lineage: Archaea
Description: bacterial SSU rRNA
Rfam family: Archaeal small subunit ribosomal RNA
Source: RNAcentral